UACGUAGGGUGCGAGCGUUGUCCGGAAUUACUGGGCGUAAAGAGCUCGUAGGUGGUUUGUCGCGUUGUUCGUGAAAACUCACAACUCAAUUGUGGGCGUGCGGGCGAUACGGGCAGACUGGAGUACUGCAGGGGAGACUGGAAUUCCUGGUGUAGCGGUGGAAUGCGCAGAUAUCAGGAGGAACACCGGUGGCGAAGGCGGGUCUCUGGGCAACAACUGACGCUGAGGAGCGAAAGCGUGGGGAGCGAACAGG
RNAcentral lists this ribosomal RNA (253 nucleotides) under uncultured bacterium. Its description in RNAcentral is "partial 16S ribosomal RNA". It matches the Rfam family "Bacterial small subunit ribosomal RNA", at positions 524 to 776 of the family's 1533-position model. The record is from RNAcentral.